GAUCCUGGCUCAGGAUGAACGCUGGCGGCGUGCCUAACACAUGCAAGUCGAGCGGAGAUAUAGAGAGAUUCUUCGGAUACUUUCUUAUCUUAGCGGCGGAUGGGUGAGUAACACGUGGGUAACCUGCCCUGCACAGGGGGAUAACAGCUGGAAACGGCUGUUAAUACCGCAUAUGCACACGCUGCCGCAUGGCAGAGGGUGGAAAGAUUUAUCGGUGCAGGAUGGGCCCGCGUCGGAUUAACUAGUUGGCAGGGUAACGGCCUACCAAGGUUAUGAUCCGUAGCCGACCUGAGAGGGUGACCGGCCACAUUGGGACUGAGACACGGCCCAAACUCCUACGGGAGGCAGCAGUGGGGGAUAUUGCACAAUGGGCGGAAGCCUGAUGCAGCGACGCCGCGUGAAGGAAGAAGUAUUUCGGUAUGUAAACUUCUAUCAGCGGGGAAGAAGAUGACGGUACCCGACUAAGAAGCCCCGGCUAACUACGUGCCAGCAGCCGC
Molecule: ribosomal RNA, 497 nt
Filed under: uncultured bacterium
Lineage: Bacteria
Description: bacterial SSU rRNA
Rfam family: Bacterial small subunit ribosomal RNA
Source: RNAcentral